AGCUGCAGAAGAAGCACCGGCUAACUCCGUGCCAGCUAGCCGCGGUAAUACGGAGGGUGCGAGCGUUAAUCGGAAUUACUGGGCGUAAAGCGCAUGCAGGUGGUUGUUAAGUCAGAUGUGAAAGCCCGGGGCUCAACCUCGGAAUUGCAUUUGAAACUGGCAAACUAGAGUACUGUAGAGGGGGUAGAAUUUCAGGUGUAGCGGUGAAAUGCGUAGAGAUCUGAAGGAAUACCGGUGGCGAAGGCGGCCCCCUGGACAGAUACUGACACUCAGAUGCGAAAGCGUGGGGAGCAAACAGGAUUAGAUACCCUGGUAG
RNAcentral lists this ribosomal RNA (316 nucleotides) under uncultured bacterium. Its description in RNAcentral is "bacterial SSU rRNA". It matches the Rfam family "Bacterial small subunit ribosomal RNA", at positions 477 to 793 of the family's 1533-position model. The record is from RNAcentral.